GUGCUUCAGCAGCACAUAUACUAAAACUGGAAUGAUACAGAGAAGGUUAGCAUGGCCCCUGCACAAGGAUGACAUGCAAUUUUGUGAUGUGUUCCAUAUUUUU
Molecule: small nuclear RNA, 103 nt
Filed under: Dasypus novemcinctus (nine-banded armadillo)
Lineage: Eukaryota; Metazoa; Chordata; Mammalia; Cingulata; Dasypodidae
Source: RNAcentral